CCGACUCACCCCUCUCACCAUUUGGCUCUCUCUUUGUGCGGUCACUAACUUUGCUGUUUUCAGUUCCUUCUCAUUUUUUUUAUCUAUAUUUUUUUUUAGCUUUGCUUCUUGUCUUUCUGUAAUGUCUAUGUAUUUGUAUUCUCUUCUUUUGUUCUAUGUAUUCUCUUUCUUGGUUUUCUUCGAAUUAUCAGGCUCCAAAAAAACGGAAGGAAGGAGUAUGCAGGUGACAUCACUGCUCCUUUUUUAAAAAGGCUUGGCGACUGGAGUCUUAAUGUAGUAUCGAAUCAGUGUGACAUUUGUGUGAGAGUGAAUGCAAUUCCUUCUGUUGUCCAAAGGGGUGUACUUUUAAAGACUUGGUGCUGACUGGUUGUAACAGCAACUCCAUGUGGAAGGAUUGUGUCUUCCAGUGGAGCUGCUGUUGCGUGCAGAUAGUCACCUUCAACUGCCUGAGCUACACAGGAAAUGUUUUCCUUGAAAUGCAUGAGUAAUAUAUGCUGCUAACUAAACUAAGAUCAGAUAUGUAAAAAAACAAAAACAAACAAACAAACAACAACAACAACAACAACAACAAAAAGAUUUAAGUCAAAACUUGUAUUUAAGCUAAUAACCAAUAGUUUUCAUAUACAACUAGAGAGUAUGUUUAACCCAGUGUCUAGGAAGUAGGGUGAUGACCUAUGAAUUGACAGCCAGUGUUUGCAGUCCAGCUGCCUGUCAGUUCUGUAGGCCACUGUCCUGUUUGCCCUGCUAAACACACACUGAUUUGUACAGCAUAAAAUGAAUGCAGAAUGCCAUAAAACAGACUUGUAUAAAUGAACUAUGCAGUUAGGCUAAAGAAUUGUAAAAACAUCAUAAUGCAAUGUUCAUGUUUUUAUUCUAAUGUAACUAUUAAAACUAAUUCAGUUGCAUUAAAUUAUUUUAAAAUCAA
Long non-coding RNA from Myxocyprinus asiaticus (Chinese sucker), 925 nucleotides. RefSeq lists it as uncharacterized. The record is from RefSeq and is a predicted model, not a curated record. The transcript is spliced from 2 exons. Lineage: Eukaryota; Metazoa; Chordata; Actinopteri; Cypriniformes; Catostomidae.